RNAcentral lists this ribosomal RNA (497 nucleotides) under uncultured bacterium. Its description in RNAcentral is "partial 16S ribosomal RNA". It matches the Rfam family "Bacterial small subunit ribosomal RNA", at positions 28 to 507 of the family's 1533-position model. The record is from RNAcentral.
GAUGAACGCUGGCGGCGUGCCUAAUACAUGCAAGUCGAGCGAACGGACGAGAAGCUUGCUUCUCUGAUGUUAGCGGCGGACGGGUGAGUAACACGUGGAUAACCUACCUAUAAGACUGGGAUAACUUCGGGAAACCGGAGCUAAUACCGGAUAAUAUUUUGAACCGCAUGGUUCAAAAGUGAAAGACGGUCUUGCUGUCACUUAUAGAUGGAUCCGCGCUGCAUUAGCUAGUUGGUAAGGUAACGGCUUACCAAGGCAACGAUGCAUAGCCGACCUGAGAGGGUGAUCGGCCACACUGGAACUGAGACACGGUCCAGACUCCUACGGGAGGCAGCAGUAGGGAAUCUUCCGCAAUGGGCGAAAGCCUGACGGAGCCACACCGCGUGGGUGAUGAAGGUCUUCGGAUCGUAAAACUCUGUUAUUAGGGAAGAACAUAUGUGUAAGUAACUGUGCACCUCUUGACGGUACCUAAUCAAAAAGCCACGGCUAACUACGUG